RNAcentral lists this long non-coding RNA (325 nucleotides) under Androctonus crassicauda. The record is from RNAcentral. Lineage: Eukaryota; Metazoa; Arthropoda; Arachnida; Scorpiones; Buthidae.
AUAUUUUUUCAGAAUAUUGCAUCACAAUAUUGACAUUUAUCGGUUAUUUCACUCGCAUCAUAAGAUGGUUCCUGUUGUUUUUCUAUUCACCUCCGUUUUUCUCGAACGUUUAGCAGCAGCGUAUUUACAUGUCGAUGGCCCCUGUUCCUCGGGCAAUUUUUGUCGUUGUGUUUUCCUCCAAUUUUUUGAAUGUUCAGUUGCAAAUAUUCUGAUGUCGACGUUCCUGUUCUGUUUAUUCAGAAAUAUUCUGUUUCUGAUGUCGACGUUCCUGUUCUUUUUUUCCUCUUUCGUUUUCUGAAAUGUUCAGCAACAAUCUUUUUUAAUG